Molecule: long non-coding RNA, 526 nt
Filed under: Dermacentor andersoni
Lineage: Eukaryota; Metazoa; Arthropoda; Arachnida; Ixodida; Ixodidae
Description: uncharacterized LOC126539128
Source: RNAcentral
AUUCGGAAUUCUCGCUUACCACAUCUAGCAACCGCGAAGAAAGGACGUUGCCUACGGUCUGCGACACAUCGCAUUUCCGUUGCAGCAAAGGUACUCUGACUGACCAUUUAUCGACAAAUGCUGUAAUUAUGAAUAACAACGGGAAUUUCGGCUCAUGGACUGUAUACUCGGCUGCGAUCUCGCUGGGAUAUAAGUGAUCUGUUUUCAGUUUCUUAACAAGUAUUUCGAGCCUUAUAUUUUUGCAGAUUGGCGUCCUCAUUCCGAACACAGUUCCAGUAAGGGCAUCGCAGUGCUGUGCUGUUUUCGGACGUAACCCUUCAUGGUCCGUGGCUGUGCUUCGAUCGUCGGUGACUCCUGCCAACUCCAUUCUGUUGGCUGGCACUUAUCAGAUUUCCCGAUAGCUCGGAACCAGAAAAUGACCGACGACUGUGAACGGACGUGAAGAAGUAUGUGAAAGCUUCGUCACCGUGCAGAGCAGAAUGUACUUCCUGGAGCAUGGAAUCGCAUGAAAUAUUCAAAAGUUAUC